Molecule: transfer RNA, 82 nt
Filed under: Candidatus Tritonobacter lacicola
Lineage: Bacteria; Pseudomonadati; Candidatus Auribacterota; Candidatus Tritonobacteria; Candidatus Tritonobacterales; Candidatus Tritonobacteraceae
Description: tRNA-Leu
Rfam family: tRNA
About the family: Transfer RNA (tRNA) molecules are approximately 80 nucleotides in length. Their secondary structure includes four short double-helical elements and three loops (D, anti-codon, and T loops). Further hydrogen bonds mediate the characteristic L-shaped molecular structure. tRNAs have two regions of fundamental functional importance: the anti-codon, which is responsible for specific mRNA codon recognition, and the 3' end, to which the tRNAs corresponding amino acid is attached (by aminoacyl-tRNA synthetases). tRNAs cope with the degeneracy of the genetic code in two manners: having more than one tRNA (with a specific anti-codon) for a particular amino acid; and 'wobble' base-pairing, i.e. permitting non-standard base-pairing at the 3rd anti-codon position.
Source: RNAcentral
GGGCGGAUGGCGAAAUUGGCAGACGCGCAGGAUUUAGGAUCCUGUGGGGAAACCCGUGGAGGUUCGAGUCCUCUUCCGCCCA